This 285-nucleotide ribosomal RNA is filed under the name Enterobacter roggenkampii. RNAcentral describes it as "partial 16S ribosomal RNA". It matches the Rfam family "Bacterial small subunit ribosomal RNA", at positions 1249 to 1533 of the family's 1533-position model. The record is from RNAcentral. Lineage: Bacteria; Pseudomonadati; Pseudomonadota; Gammaproteobacteria; Enterobacterales; Enterobacteriaceae.
GCGACCUCGCGAGAGCAAGCGGACCUCAUAAAGUGCGUCGUAGUCCGGAUUGGAGUCUGCAACUCGACUCCAUGAAGUCGGAAUCGCUAGUAAUCGUAGAUCAGAAUGCUACGGUGAAUACGUUCCCGGGCCUUGUACACACCGCCCGUCACACCAUGGGAGUGGGUUGCAAAAGAAGUAGGUAGCUUAACCUUCGGGAGGGCGCUUACCACUUUGUGAUUCAUGACUGGGGUGAAGUCGUAACAAGGUAACCGUAGGGGAACCUGCGGUUGGAUCACCUCCUUA